Molecule: long non-coding RNA, 1017 nt
Filed under: Sus scrofa (pig)
Lineage: Eukaryota; Metazoa; Chordata; Mammalia; Artiodactyla; Suidae
Description: lncRNA (ENSSSCG00005034691.1)
Source: RNAcentral
UAUCUUUCAUGUUAUUUAAAUUUUUCACGAGAGAACGAACCGCUUUUAUAAUAAAAGAUAAAGGUUUUGCAUCUUGAAAUCCGACGCACACACAGCAAGCUGGACGGGCGGGGGCACUGGGUGGGGACCGGGUCCAGGAGCCCCUUCUGCCCCUGUUCCCCCCGGUUCCAGUUCUCCCUCCAAGGGGCUGAGCCCACAUUCCCGGAGGGGCGAAGGAACGGGCAGCAGACAUGUACUGAGCAGGGAAGGGCAAAUGCAGAGUCGUCUGCAGGCUGGAGCCCAGGGCAGGUGCCGUGGGCGUCCUUGGCCGUGGCCGCUCCCUUGGGGCAGGCGCCUCCCUCAAAGUUUCCUGUAGCUUCAACAUUUCCAGGUUUGGCCGAUGGUGCAGUGUUUUGGGGCGGGCGCAUCUCCCGUUGACAAGUCACACACUCAAACGCCUUGAGGGGACUGGGCCGGCCCCAUGUUCUCCCAGGGACCCUCUGGGCGAGCUCGUGGCCCCCACAGGAGGGAGUUAAAACAGCCUUCACCGCCCGUGGGACCUUCUGGGUUGUCUCCCGUCUUUGUUCCCCAGCUCGGGGCCCCCACUUACAAUCGGCAACGCAUCCCCCCUGGACCACCAGCCCACAAGGACUUGGACACUGGGUGUCUACAUGGGAGGCCAUCCUGGGAAGGGUUUGGAUGGCGCUGCCCGGGGCCCUGGGAGUCAGGGUGGGGCAAGAUCCGUGGGUUGACCUCACCCACUGGGGCGGGGCACUGGCCAUGCAGCCUCUGUAAGGGUGGUAUCAGUUCGUGGGCGACGCCCCCUCCCAGCUCGGUGAAAAUGGAGCCUGAAGAAGCCAGGGACCCCCUUUGCAGCCCCUUCUGGGNNNNNNNNNNNNNNNNNNNNNNNNNNNUGGGGAGGUGGAGCCUGCGUCCUUAAACUGAUGGGGCGGACGCUGGCUACACCUACUGAGCAGAGGGUCGCUCUGGGAGUUUUGCUCAGGUGGGAUAUUAGGAGGCAGGACCCUGGAAAGUGCU